ACUACCCCUAUCUUCUUUUUAUAUUUUCAUUGUCAGUAAUUGCGAGUCACAAAAUAACUAAGCUCCUCUCCCUCGUGGCGGCGUUUGAGGUCAUGAUGGAGAGUCCAGCGUGUGCGACGUACAUGGCUGCAGUGAUGUCGUUGUGGCCGCCUCCGAUGACCAGCGCGUCCUAUUUUUUGUCCUUCAACGCACUUGCGGCGCCGACACUGCUGCAUCUAAAGCUCCUCCGCCUCAUUGAAAUCCUUCACUUUCUCUACUAGCCUUCACAUAUUGGUUGCUCAGUGCCUAUAGAAUAGUCAAUAGAGAAGAUUCUUCUCUCUCUUCCUUGUUGAUAUCAUCUUCAAUCCUUUUUAAUUACCCAACUUUUACGAGAUCCAAAUACCCAUGAAGCAAACUAAUUAACCAAAUCCCAGCUUGAUUCCAUAUUCAAAAUCUUCAUGGGUUUUAAAUUGUGAAAUGAGUGUUUUCACUCUUUCCGAUCAAACAAGCCCACCUUCAAAAGCAUCAAUUUGAUCAUAUCUUUUGUUUUUAUAAGUUCUUCAAGAAAUGAACAAAGACUACCUUCCAAGACCCAUAACAUGGUUUUCUUGCUCUUCACGAUUGAAAUUCAGGUUUUCCGGAGUACAUAUACAAAAAUGAGAUAAUAAGAGGAAAGAUGCACAAAUAAGGAAAAGCUUGAAGUCCUGACCCAAGUAGAAGACCUUGAUGGAUCGAGGAGCCCAAUCCAUGGAGCUAUCGCAGCAAAUUAUGGAGAUAUUAGCAGAGAUAUUGAUGAUAACAUGGCGAAUUCUCAUUGGACAAAGUGAUGUGGAGAAAUCCUAAUUCAAUCAGAGAAUUAAGAAGUUGGUUUUCUCUACACUUCAAGGACUCUCAAACCAAAAAGGAAUGAAAGAGGACUUCAGAGCACUAUAAUAAGCCUAGAAAAGCUAACAAAAAGACUAAUACGCGGGAGAAUCAAGCAAGAAACUCGAGCAGAAAAAAGCAGAUCAGCCGUUCACCGACCAGUUGGCGGAUCCUGACGACCGGUCGUUAUGACGAUUUUCCAACUUGAUUUUUAGGGUUUUUCUGUUUUACUUUGCUUAUGAAUUCUUUUGUGCUUCCAAUUCAAACCAUGUGCAACUAAAUUCUUGGUAGUUAGGGGAUAUUGAAGCCCCAAC
Rosa rugosa (rugosa rose) is the source of this 1157-nucleotide long non-coding RNA. RefSeq lists it as uncharacterized. Lineage: Eukaryota; Viridiplantae; Streptophyta; Magnoliopsida; Rosales; Rosaceae. The transcript is spliced from 3 exons. The record is from RefSeq and is a predicted model, not a curated record.